UUCCUAUGCACCGUAAAAACAUUCCUCUUUCCCCUUCACACUUUCACACAGUCACAUGUUCCUCUUGCCCGAUCCCCUUUCUCUCUUUCAGUCUUCCCUACUCUCUCCGGUCACUCCAACAUUUCUGCCGCCGGCGCCGAAUAGCUCCCAUCAGCUUUCUUCCUUGAUUCUGUGCCUUGAGCUUGCUCGUCCGCACCUGCAGCCACCCCCACAUCUCGAUUCUCUGUUGCAGCCACAGGGUGCCCCACAGCUCGAUUCGCCGUUCCAGCCACAGUGUGACCUUCGACGGCGGCUGGUUUUUCUCCUCGUGUGCAUCCUCGGUCUCCUAGGCUGGUAAAUAGUGAUGGAGGGGUAGCAGGGCCCAAGCUGGAGCUGCGCAAGGGAGGAGGCGAGAUCAUCGAUCUGCGCGGUGUUGUUCCUGUCAGCGUUCAUGCAGGUGAUGUGGGCGUGGAUUUCGUCUCCCGCUGUCAGCUUUGAUCCAUCUUUAGUAUGAGGAUGGUGGAGACAUUUUCUGCCCCUUGAGCGCCAGACGCAUCCUACACAUCGGCGACAUUCUUCGAAGUGGCAUAAUAUUAUUGUGAAUAGUUGUCCUAGGUGGUUGCCAAUCGCCCACUGAAGCCACUCUGUUGUCAUUGAGAAAUCCUAGUGCUUCGCAAGCAUAUCUGAUGGGCAUAAUAUAUCCUUCCAACUGAUCUUCAUUUCUUCCUUUUGCUUCACUUCGUGUCUUUCUUCUUCCAUACCUAUUUUGACGGGAACUCUGCAUAUGUUAAUUCUCUGGCUUCCUCACACAUCUUGUGUGUCUCCAUCUACUGUGUAAAUUUAGUGAUUAUCCCUCCUUUCCUUAUUGUCUUUGUUUAAUCUGUAGAAUCUGCUAAAAUGACUUGUUGCUCAUUUUCCAGGUGGAAAGUUAAUCUUUCAAUGCAGGGAUCUCUGAAGUGCAUUUCAAAUUGAAAUAUUCUCCAACACGUGUCAUCUCUUGAUCUCAUUGUUUCGUAUUAGCACCGCGGAUUGGUCAUCACCUUUAUUUAUGUAUUUAAAAAGAAAGUGGCAGGCGACGGACGACUACAAAGAUCAAUGGCGAUGCGCCUGCUGUUCUUUGGACCGAGGAGAGUACCUUGCUCUGCUGCUUCAGACCUGGGCCGACCUUGCUCGUCCAAAUGGCUGCAACCAUCUGCACUGAUGAUCGAUGUCAUAUGGAAAUCAUGUGGGAAUAAGCAUGCGCUCUCCAAUCUCCAUGGACGCCAGUGCCUCGUCUGCCUCCAUCUGCACCCGCCGCUGCAGCGUGGCCCCGGCGUCUUACUCUCCGAUGUUGCUGCUGCCAUGGUGUCGUAAGCAUCUGUCUGCUGCUCAACUGCAGCGUACCACCACUUGAAGCGGCUGUAAGAGUCCUAGGGCAAAAUCCAUCCCCAUGCAAGCUUCCUCCACAGGGCAUGGUGGCGGCGUGCGAAAAAAGGAGUCGAAAACCUGGGCGAGGGAUCUUUUCCUCUUAUUUUUGUGUUUGUGAAAUCGUGUGGAUCCUGAGAAAUUGCAUGAAUCUGUGUAACGUGAAUGUAAUUUUUUUCUAUGUACGUGUAAGCUAAAAAAGAUUUAUGUACGUGUAUAUGCCAACUCACGUGCACAUAUGGGUCAUUUUUUAAUAGAAUUGAGAGACUGUUUAGAAUUGA
Molecule: non-coding RNA, 1664 nt
Organism: Aegilops tauschii subsp. strangulata
Lineage: Eukaryota; Viridiplantae; Streptophyta; Magnoliopsida; Poales; Poaceae
Source: RefSeq, a predicted model, not a curated record